GUUGCUGAAUAUCAGGAACAUUCACUCAAAACUGUAUCCAGACCAGAAAGGAAUCCUCAAAAAAAGAGGUAUUGAGGCUCCCUAGGAUUCCCUUGUGCUCUUGUGAAGUCUUGGGAGUUGUGGGACAGGAGGAAGAGCCUUUAAUUGCCAAACAUUGCCCCUGGAUCUCCAGUGCUGGGAUCAGGACUGCUGAUGGUGAUCUGGCAGCAAUUUUUGAAGAUUGCAGACUUCCUCAAAAUGCACCACAUUCAGGCUCCCAAAGGGUUCCCCAGUAUAAAAGGUAAAUGUAUCUAUGAAGCUGCCUAGAGCCCAAGACUUCCAGGAUCCCUGCCUAGAGGAGGACAAGGUAGAAGCCA
Non-coding RNA from Pogona vitticeps (central bearded dragon), 356 nucleotides. Lineage: Eukaryota; Metazoa; Chordata; Lepidosauria; Squamata; Agamidae. The record is from RefSeq and is a predicted model, not a curated record.